Molecule: long non-coding RNA, 2453 nt
Organism: Amphiprion ocellaris (clown anemonefish)
Lineage: Eukaryota; Metazoa; Chordata; Actinopteri; Pomacentridae
Exons: 4
Source: RefSeq, a predicted model, not a curated record
CGACUCCACAAGCAUCUACUCGGCGCAGUACGGCUCGGCUCGUCUUUGUUUGCGAGCGUUUCCAUAUGGAUUAGCGCAUCAUACCAGGCACGAUUUUUCGUACCUUCUCGGCUGAGGUUCCAAGCGAGAUGAAGUGAGCCAGAUGUGACGUCUACAUAGUGCAGGCCACUGAUUGGACAGGAAGUGACGACACAGGAGAGCGACUCCAGCACGAAAACAAAACCGGCAUUAAAAAAAAAAAAACUGUAAACAGCUACGGUGUGCAUUGCUCUUCACGGAGCUCUCUGUUCUUCAUAAUUUUAAUAUGACAGCCAGACCUGUACCGUGGGUGAAUGAAGAGGUCGAGACUUUUCUGUUUCUGGUGGCGGACCAAAGAAUACAGAGGGAGCUGGACGGAGAAAGUUUAUCAGGAGGUCUCUGAGCGGAUGGCCACCCACGGAUACAGUAGACUGUAUAUAAAGAGGACAGACAGCGCGCUAGCGUAUCUAGUCUGCUAUAUAUAUCUAUGGUCGGCACGUCUGGUAGCAUCUCUGGCUGCUGUUGACCUUGUUUUUGGAGUAAAACACGGUGGAAGCUGAAUUAGUGAGGAUGACUCCUGCUCCUGUCAUCUCUAAGCUCCUCACACAUCUUUACCUGCACAUGAGGAAAAUCACUCCUGUAGAAUGCAGGUUUCCCAGAGACUAUGGGUUGAGGAGGAAUUGGAAGUUUGUCGGCUUAGACCUGGUGUCAUUCCAUCAGUGUUUAACUUCCCGGCUCAUCUUGGAAGAGUACGUGCCAGAAAGACCACGACCAAGCAGCCUUGAGAUCUUAGCAGCGUCUCCCUGAGGUCCCUCUCUAUCUCCCCACACAUCCACCAACCACUGGAACACAUCUCCAAAGUUCUGCCGGUCCAGCUCAGCUUCCCCUCAGAAGAAGUGGCGCCACCUGCCAGAUGAAGGAGCCUUUUGAGAGGCAGCUGGCAUCGUGAUUGGACUGUACUUUGGUCUGUUCCAAUCCAGCUUCAGCUCCAGAGAUGGCAGGCGGGACGAGUCAACGGAGGCCGGGUGGACGAAGGCAUGCAGCUGAGUACAAUCCAGAAAACAACAGAGGAGGAGUGCAGUGGCCCAGGGCCAGAACAACCAGAGUAGCAUCAUAUGUGUCUUAGAAAACAUCAUAGUAUAGCCUUUGGUAUGAAAAAACGCCAUCAUAUACAUCGUAUAUUGUACAAAUAAGUCAAAGGAAAGAGAUAUACAUUGUAGAAUUGUAGUAAUUGUGGGCUGACUGAUUUACUGAUUAGCAGUAUUUUAUUUUUGACUGAUUUACGGUAAUAAAUACAUUAAAAAUGGUGCUACUUUGGCUCUGAACCUUUAUCUACCUGUGGUCGCUCUGUCUUCUGGAGUGAUUUGAUUGGUUAUACAUCGCGAAUAAAACUCCUUUAACAUCUGUAAACAAAAACGUAUCAACAAAGUUUUCUGUUAGAGUUUGUGUUCUUCUAAGUUUAACUCCAAGAUUUUAAAUACUUUCAUUUACUGCAAAUGAAUAUCUACUCCAAAUGUCUCACUAAUAAUCAUUAUCAGCCUUAAAAACCCACAAAACACCCCUCUAUACUCGACCACACUUAGUACAGUCCGGUUCCCCCUUCUAUAAAUCUGCUUGGAAUCUUCCACUUCCUGUUUGUCAAAGUGGCCUUCUACCUGGACAGGUUUUGUUGGAGCUCAUGCAACAAACAUUUUGGGUAACUGCACUUUAAUAUGGAUGGAUGACACUGAAUUAGAGUCUGUUUUAAUGAGACUGAGUUAAGAUGUGUAGCUCUGUCAUUAAAUAGGAAAUUAUUUCUCAGAAUUCACAGAGAAAAGUCUGAAAUGUUUGCUAGGUUAGCGUCCCACAUGUUCUUUGGCUCAGCUAAAGCUAACUCUCUCCAACUUCUGGAUCUCUUGAGUUACUUGUUAAAAUAUCUUGCUAGAGGUGCUGAAGCUCAGAAAGUCUGAGAUGUUUGUUCAAAAUAAGCUCAUUCUCAAGUCUGAUCUGAACUGUCCUCUUUUGUUUGAACUUUCCCUAAACUUAGGAGUUAAUGACAGAGCAGCACAUCCAGACUCAGUCUCAUUUAUGUAGAGAUUAAACUUCAGUGUCAUUCAUUGAUGUUAAAGUGCAGUUUUUCAAAUGUUUGUUGCACAUGCUCCCGACCAAAGCAGUCCAGGUGGAAGACGAUGUGAAGAGAAAGCUCCAGAGGAUGAAUAUCACACAUUUACGUUGGAAAUAAAUGUCCUUUAAUUAGACAUUGUCAUGCAAAAGUUGGAUUUCCCUUUAAUGAUGUUCAAAUCUUUGUUGAGUGUUUUGUUGAUGUUGGUUUCUAAAUGUUUUCUGACACUCGGCCCCAAAGAUUAAAACCUUCUACGGCUCACAAGCUGCAACAAUUCACACAUUAUCAACUAUCUUUCUGACUAAACUAAGAUAAAAAGUGAAAAACUGCCUGA